Molecule: non-coding RNA, 26 nt
Filed under: Rattus norvegicus (Norway rat)
Lineage: Eukaryota; Metazoa; Chordata; Mammalia; Rodentia; Muridae
Source: RNAcentral
UAGCAGUCACAUCACAAAGUUCUGUU